Molecule: small nucleolar RNA, 97 nt
Organism: Mercurialis annua (annual mercury)
Lineage: Eukaryota; Viridiplantae; Streptophyta; Magnoliopsida; Malpighiales; Euphorbiaceae
Product: small nucleolar RNA snoR1
Exons: 1
Source: RefSeq, a predicted model, not a curated record
GGCAAAGAUGAACAGUGCUUAAUUUCUGACACCUCUUGUAUGAGAAGAGCUUUGAAUAAAGGCUCUUCUUUGAGCACAGACAGCAACUUUCUGAGCC